This 2789-nucleotide ribosomal RNA is filed under the name human gut metagenome. Its description in RNAcentral is "bacterial LSU rRNA". It matches the Rfam family "Bacterial large subunit ribosomal RNA". The record is from RNAcentral.
AGCGUACACGGUGGAUGCCCUGGCAGUCAGAGGCGAUGAAGGACGUGCUAAUCUGCGAUAAGCGUCGGUAAGGUGAUAUGAACCGUUAUAACCGGCGAUUUCCGAAUGGGGAAACCCAGUGUGUUUCGACACACUAUCAUUAACUGAAUCCAUAGGUUAAUGAGGCGAACCGGGGGAACUGAAACAUCUAAGUACCCCGAGGAAAAGAAAUCAACCGAGAUUCCCCCAGUAGCGGCGAGCGAACGGGGAGCAGCCCAGAGCCUGAAUCAGUGUGUGUGUUAGUGGAAGCGUCUGGAAAGGCGCGCGAUACAGGGUGACAGCCCCGUACACAAAAAUGCACAUGCUGUGAGCUCGAUGAGUAGGGCGGGACACGUGGUAUCCUGUCUGAAUAUGGGGGGACCAUCCUCCAAGGCUAAAUACUCCUGACUGACCGAUAGUGAACCAGUACCGUGAGGGAAAGGCGAAAAGAACCCCGGCGAGGGGAGUGAAAAAGAACCUGAAACCGUGUACGUACAAGCAGUGGGAGCACGCUUAGGCGUGUGACUGCGUACCUUUUGUAUAAUGGGUCAGCGACUUAUAUUCUGUAGCAAGGUUAACCGAAUAGGGGAGCCGAAGGGAAACCGAGUCUUAACUGGGCGUUAAGUUGCAGGGUAUAGACCCGAAACCCGGUGAUCUAGCCAUGGGCAGGUUGAAGGUUGGGUAACACUAACUGGAGGACCGAACCGACUAAUGUUGAAAAAUUAGCGGAUGACUUGUGGCUGGGGGUGAAAGGCCAAUCAAACCGGGAGAUAGCUGGUUCUCCCCGAAAGCUAUUUAGGUAGCGCCUCGUGAAUUCAUCUCCGGGGGUAGAGCACUGUUUCGGCAAGGGGGUCAUCCCGACUUACCAACCCGAUGCAAACUGCGAAUACCGGAGAAUGUUAUCACGGGAGACACACGGCGGGUGCUAACGUCCGUCGUGAAGAGGGAAACAACCCAGACCGCCAGCUAAGGUCCCAAAGUCAUGGUUAAGUGGGAAACGAUGUGGGAAGGCCCAGACAGCCAGGAUGUUGGCUUAGAAGCAGCCAUCAUUUAAAGAAAGCGUAAUAGCUCACUGGUCGAGUCGGCCUGCGCGGAAGAUGUAACGGGGCUAAACCAUGCACCGAAGCUGCGGCAGCGACGCUUAUGCGUUGUUGGGUAGGGGAGCGUUCUGUAAGCCUGUGAAGGUGUGCUGUGAGGCAUGCUGGAGGUAUCAGAAGUGCGAAUGCUGACAUAAGUAACGAUAAAGCGGGUGAAAAGCCCGCUCGCCGGAAGACCAAGGGUUCCUGUCCAACGUUAAUCGGGGCAGGGUGAGUCGACCCCUAAGGCGAGGCCGAAAGGCGUAGUCGAUGGGAAACAGGUUAAUAUUCCUGUACUUGGUGUUACUGCGAAGGGGGGACGGAGAAGGCUAUGUUGGCCGGGCGACGGUUGUCCCGGUUUAAGCGUGUAGGCUGGUUUUCCAGGCAAAUCCGGAAAAUCAAGGCUGAGGCGUGAUGACGAGGCACUACGGUGCUGAAGCAACAAAUGCCCUGCUUCCAGGAAAAGCCUCUAAGCAUCAGGUAACAUCAAAUCGUACCCCAAACCGACACAGGUGGUCAGGUAGAGAAUACCAAGGCGCUUGAGAGAACUCGGGUGAAGGAACUAGGCAAAAUGGUGCCGUAACUUCGGGAGAAGGCACGCUGAUAUGUAGGUGAAGUCCCUCGCGGAUGGAGCUGAAAUCAGUCGAAGAUACCAGCUGGCUGCAACUGUUUAUUAAAAACACAGCACUGUGCAAACACGAAAGUGGACGUAUACGGUGUGACGCCUGCCCGGUGCCGGAAGGUUAAUUGAUGGGGUUAGCGGUAACGCGAAGCUCUUGAUCGAAGCCCCGGUAAACGGCGGCCGUAACUAUAACGGUCCUAAGGUAGCGAAAUUCCUUGUCGGGUAAGUUCCGACCUGCACGAAUGGCGUAAUGAUGGCCAGGCUGUCUCCACCCGAGACUCAGUGAAAUUGAACUCGCUGUGAAGAUGCAGUGUACCCGCGGCAAGACGGAAAGACCCCGUGAACCUUUACUAUAGCUUGACACUGAACAUUGAGCCUUGAUGUGUAGGAUAGGUGGGAGGCUUUGAAGUGUGGACGCCAGUCUGCAUGGAGCCGACCUUGAAAUACCACCCUUUAAUGUUUGAUGUUCUAACGUGGACCCGUGAUCCGGGUUGCGGACAGUGUCUGGUGGGUAGUUUGACUGGGGCGGUCUCCUCCUAAAGAGUAACGGAGGAGCACGAAGGUUGGCUAAUCCUGGUCGGACAUCAGGAGGUUAGUGCAAUGGCAUAAGCCAGCUUGACUGCGAGCGUGACGGCGCGAGCAGGUGCGAAAGCAGGUCAUAGUGAUCCGGUGGUUCUGAAUGGAAGGGCCAUCGCUCAACGGAUAAAAGGUACUCCGGGGAUAACAGGCUGAUACCGCCCAAGAGUUCAUAUCGACGGCGGUGUUUGGCACCUCGAUGUCGGCUCAUCACAUCCUGGGGCUGAAGUAGGUCCCAAGGGUAUGGCUGUUCGCCAUUUAAAGUGGUACGCGAGCUGGGUUUAGAACGUCGUGAGACAGUUCGGUCCCUAUCUGCCGUGGGCGCUGGAGAACUGAGGGGGGCUGCUCCUAGUACGAGAGGACCGGAGUGGACGCAUCACUGGUGUUCGGGUUGUCAUGCCAAUGGCACUGCCCGGUAGCUAAAUGCGGAAGAGAUAAGUGCUGAAAGCAUCUAAGCACGAAACUUGCCCCGAGAUGAGUUCUCCCUGACUCCUUGA